AACCAUCGUCGCGACCCC
Molecule: ribosomal RNA, 18 nt
Filed under: Cardiospermum grandiflorum (showy balloonvine)
Lineage: Eukaryota; Viridiplantae; Streptophyta; Magnoliopsida; Sapindales; Sapindaceae
Description: partial 26S ribosomal RNA
Source: RNAcentral